Molecule: ribosomal RNA, 253 nt
Filed under: uncultured Stenotrophomonas sp.
Lineage: Bacteria; Pseudomonadati; Pseudomonadota; Gammaproteobacteria; Lysobacterales; Lysobacteraceae
Description: partial 16S ribosomal RNA
Rfam family: Bacterial small subunit ribosomal RNA
Source: RNAcentral
CGGACGGGUGAGGAAUACAUCGGAAUCUACUCUGUCGUGGGGGAGUAACGUAGGGAGACUUACGCUAAUACCGCAUACGACCUACGGUGAAAGCAGGGAUCUUCGGACCUUGCGCGAUUGAAUGAGCCGAUGUCGGAUUAGCUAGUUGGCGGGGUAAAGGCCCACCAAGGCGACGAUCCGUAGCUGGUCUGAGAGGAUGAUCAGCCACACUGGAACUGAGACACGGUCCAGACUCCUACGGGAGGCAGCAGCC